Molecule: ribosomal RNA, 482 nt
Filed under: uncultured bacterium
Lineage: Bacteria
Description: partial 16S ribosomal RNA
Rfam family: Bacterial small subunit ribosomal RNA
Source: RNAcentral
AUUGAACGCUGGCGGCAUGCUUUACACAUGCAAGUCGAACGGUAACAGGCCGCAAGGUGUUGACGAGUGGCGAACGGGUGAGUAAUGCAUCGGAACGUGCCCAGUCGUGGGGGAUAACUACUCGAAAGAGUAGCUAAUACCGCAUACGAUCUAUGGAUGAAAGCGGGGGACCGUAAGGCCUCGCGCGAUUGGAGCGGCCGAUGUCAGAUUAGGUAGUUGGUGGGGUAAAGGCUCACCAAGCCAACGAUCUGUAGCUGGUCUGAGAGGACAACCAGCCACACUGGGACUGAGACACGGCCCAGACUCCUACGGGAGGCAGCAGUGGGGAAUUUUGGACAAUGGGCGCAAGCCUGAUCCAGCAAUGCCGCGUGCAGGAAGAAGGCCUUCGGGUUGUAAACUGCUUUUGUACGGAACGAAACGGCUCUGGUUAAUACCCGGGGCUAAUGACGGUACCGGAAGAAUAAGCACCGGCUAACUACGUG